This 882-nucleotide ribosomal RNA is filed under the name Polaribacter sp. NRS2HaP8. Its description in RNAcentral is "bacterial SSU rRNA". It matches the Rfam family "Bacterial small subunit ribosomal RNA", at positions 73 to 957 of the family's 1533-position model. The record is from RNAcentral. Lineage: Bacteria; Pseudomonadati; Bacteroidota; Flavobacteriia; Flavobacteriales; Flavobacteriaceae.
UUAGUGCUUGCACUAGAUGACGACCGGCGCACGGGUGCGUAACGCGUAUAGAAUCUACCUUUUACAGGGGGAUAGCCUUUAGAAAUGAAGAUUAAUAUCCCAUAGUAUUGCGAAGUGGCAUCACUUUGUAAUUAAAGAUUUAUCGGUAAAAGAUGACUAUGCGUCCUAUUAGUUAGUUGGUAAGGUAACGGCUUACCAAGACUUCGAUAGGUAGGGGUCCUGAGAGGGAGAUCCCCCACACUGGUACUGAGACACGGACCAGACUCCUACGGGAGGCAGCAGUGAGGAAUAUUGGGCAAUGGAGGUAACUCUGACCCAGCCAUGCCGCGUGCAGGAAGACUGCCCUAUGGGUUGUAAACUGCUUUUAUACAGGAAGAAACACUGCUACGUGUAGCAGCUUGACGGUACUGUAAGAAUAAGGACCGGCUAACUCCGUGCCAGCAGCCGCGGUAAUACGGAGGGUCCGAGCGUUAUCCGGAAUCAUUGGGUUUAAAGGGUCCGCAGGCGGUCAAUUAAGUCAGAGGUGAAAUCCCAUAGCUUAACUAUGGAACUGCCUUUGAUACUGGUUGACUUGAGUCAUAUGGAAGUAGAUAGAAUGUGUAGUGUAGCGGUGAAAUGCAUAGAUAUUACACAGAAUACCGAUUGCGAAGGCAGUCUACUACGUAUGUACUGACGCUCAUGGACGAAAGCGUGGGGAGCGAACAGGAUUAGAUACCCUGGUAGUCCACGCCGUAAACGAUGGACACUAGUUGUUGGGCAUUAGCUCAGUGACUAAGCGAAAGUGAUAAGUGUCCCACCUGGGGAGUACGAUCGCAAGAUUGAAACUCAAAGGAAUUGACGGGGGCCCGCACAAGCGGUGGAGCAUGUGGUUUAAUUCGAUGA